Molecule: ribosomal RNA, 206 nt
Filed under: uncultured bacterium
Lineage: Bacteria
Description: partial 16S ribosomal RNA
Rfam family: Bacterial small subunit ribosomal RNA
Source: RNAcentral
CACGCAGGCGGCCUGAGAAGUCCGGCGUGAAAGCUCCUGGCUUAACUGGGAGAGGCCGUUGGAGACUGGCAGGCUUGAGGGAGUGAGAGGGAGGCGGAAUUCCCGGUGUAGUGGUGGAAUGCGUAGAUAUCGGGAAGAACACCAGUGGCGAAAGCGGCCUUCUGGCACUCACCUGACGCUGAGGUGCGAAAGCGUGGGAGCGAACG